Molecule: transfer RNA, 64 nt
Filed under: Taenia sp. MPM<JPN>:20922
Lineage: Eukaryota; Metazoa; Platyhelminthes; Cestoda; Cyclophyllidea; Taeniidae
Description: tRNA-Pro
Source: RNAcentral
CUAAUCUUAGUUUAAUUUAGAAUAAAGGUUUUGGGGAUCUUUGGUCUCAAUUUGAGAGAUUUGA